This 508-nucleotide ribosomal RNA is filed under the name Bacillus subtilis. Its description in RNAcentral is "bacterial SSU rRNA". It matches the Rfam family "Bacterial small subunit ribosomal RNA", at positions 61 to 551 of the family's 1533-position model. Lineage: Bacteria; Bacillati; Bacillota; Bacilli; Caryophanales; Bacillaceae. The record is from RNAcentral.
GUCGAGCGGACAGAUGGGAGCUUGCUCCCUGAUGUUAGCGGCGGACGGGUGAGUAACACGUGGGUAACCUGCCUGUAAGACUGGGAUAACUCCGGGAAACCGGGGCUAAUACCGGAUGGUUGUUUGAACCGCAUGGUUCAAACAUAAAAGGUGGCUUCGGCUACCACUUACAGAUGGACCCGCGGCGCAUUAGCUAGUUGGUGAGGUAACGGCUCACCAAGGCAACGAUGCGUAGCCGACCUGAGAGGGUGAUCGGCCACACUGGGACUGAGACACGGCCCAGACUCCUACGGGAGGCAGCAGUAGGGAAUCUUCCGCAAUGGACGAAAGUCUGACGGAGCAACGCCGCGUGAGUGAUGAAGGUUUUCGGAUCGUAAAGCUCUGUUGUUAGGGAAGAACAAGUACCGUUCGAAUAGGGCGGUACCUUGACGGUACCUAACCAGAAAGCCACGGCUAACUACGUGCCAGCAGCCGCGGUAAUACGUACGUGGCAAGCGUUGUCCGGAAU